This 195-nucleotide ribosomal RNA is filed under the name uncultured bacterium. Its description in RNAcentral is "partial 16S ribosomal RNA". It matches the Rfam family "Bacterial small subunit ribosomal RNA", at positions 338 to 525 of the family's 1533-position model. The record is from RNAcentral.
CCUACGGGAGGCAGCAGUAGGGAAUCUUCCGCAAUGGACGAAAGUCUGACGGAGCAACGCCGCGUGAGUGAUGAAGGUUUUCGGAUCGUAAAACUCUGUUGUUAGGGAAGAACAAGUAUCGGAGUAACUGCCGGUACCUUGACGGUACCUAACCAGAAAGCCACGGCUAACUACGUGCCAGCAGCCGCGGUAAUA